AUUGAACGCUGGCGGUAUGCUUAACACAUGCAAGUCGAACGCGAAAGUUUCUUCGGAGACGAGUAGAGUGGCGGACGGGUGAGUAACGCGUAGGAAUCUACCUUAUAGUGGGGGACAACCCGGGGAAACUCGGGCUAAUACCGCAUAAUCUCUACGGAGGAAAAUAUGGGAUCUUCGGACCAUAUGCUAUUAGAUGAGCCUGCGUCGGAUUAGCUUGUUGGUGAGGUAAAGGCUCACCAAGGCGACGAUCCGUAGCUGGUCUGAGAGGACGAUCAGCCACACUGGGACUGAGACACGGCCCAG
This 303-nucleotide ribosomal RNA is filed under the name uncultured bacterium. RNAcentral describes it as "bacterial SSU rRNA". It matches the Rfam family "Bacterial small subunit ribosomal RNA", at positions 30 to 334 of the family's 1533-position model. The record is from RNAcentral.